Long non-coding RNA from Macaca fascicularis (crab-eating macaque), 2418 nucleotides. The record is from Ensembl. NCBI's taxonomy places the organism in Eukaryota, Metazoa, Chordata, Mammalia, Primates, Cercopithecidae.
UUUUUAUAACAGCUUUAUUGAGAUAUAAUUGACAUACAAUAAGCAGCACAUAUUUAAAUUAUACGAUUUGAUAUGUUUUGACGCAUGUAUACAUCCCUGAAACCUUUGCCCCAGACUAGAUCAUGAACAUAUCCAUCACCUCCAAAAGUUUCCUUAUCUGUAUCUGUAGUUCAUUUCUUUUUAUGCUGAGUAAUAGUUCAUUGUAUGAACAUAUCACAACUUAUUUUGCCAUUCACCUGCUAAUGAACGUUUGGAUUGUUUCAAAUUUUGGCUAAUUACAUAUAGAGUUGCAUUCAUUUACGAGUCUGUGGGUAGACACAGGCUUUCAGGUGUCUUGGGUAAAUACCUACUAGUGGGAUGUCUAGGCUGUAAUGUGAGUGUAGAUCUUUACAAGGAACUACCUGGCACCAGAUGUGGCCAUGAGAGUGCGGGACUCCCCUGGAGAGGAAUGAGGGUGGAGGUCAGAGUCAGGGGUCUCCUACACCCUCUGUUUACCUUCUCAGGCUCGAUGGUCAACUCCUGGAGGUCUAUGGCUGGCAUCUCAAUAGGGCCUAUUCCUUCUUAGAGAUGCCCUCCUCCCCAUAGCAGGAGUUCCCAUAUCCCUGUGGGCAUCAAAAUUUCCUGGAGAGCCUUUUAUUUAUUUAUUUAUUUAUUUAGUUUGAGAUGGAGUCUCUGUCUCGCUCGUUGCCCAGGCUGGAGUACAGUGGCACAAUCUUGGUUCACUGCAACUUCCACCUCCCAGGUUCAAGCCAUUCUCAUGCCUCAGCCUCCCUAGUAGCUGGGACUACAGGUGCAUGCCACUACGCCUGGCUUUUUUUUUUGUAUUAUUAGUAGAGACGAGAUUUCACCAUGUCAGCCAGGCUGGUCUCAAACUCCUGACCCCAGGUGAUCCGCCUGCCUCAGCCUCCCAAAGUGCUGGGAUUACAGGGGAUUACAGGUGUGAACCACCACAUCUGGCCCCGGGAGCUUUAAACACUGUAGAUUCCUUAGGCAUGAGCUGACAGGAGUGAAAUUAAAUAAAUAAAUAAGUAAAUAAAUAAACAUUGUAGGCUGGGUACGGUGGCUCCCACAUGUAAUCCCAGCACUUUGGGAGGUUGAGGCCGGAGUGUUGCUUGAUCCCGCGAGUUCGAGACCAGCCUGGGGCAAAACCCUGUCUCUACUAAACAUACAAAAAUUAGUUGGGCAUGGUAGCUCACGCCUGUAAUCCCAGCUACUCGGGAGGCUAAGGAGAAUUGCUUGAACCCUGGAAGCAGUGGUUGCAGUGAGCUGACAUUGUGCCACUGCACUCCAGCCUGGGCAACAGAGCAAGACUCCGUCUCAAAAUAAAUAAAAAAAUAAAAAUACAAAAAAUUAGCCUGGUGUGGUGGCAUGCACCUGUGACCCCAGCUACUCAGGAGGCUGAGAUGAGAGGAUCACUUGAGCUUGGGAAGUUGAGGCUCAGUGAGCCGUGAUUGUGCCACUGCACUCCAGCCUGAGUGACAAGAGUGAGACCCUGUCUCCUAAAAAAAACCACAUAAAUAAAAAUAAACGCUGCAGAUUUCUGGGCCCCAUCUGAGACCUGCUGACUUAGAAUGUUGCUGGGUAGGACUGCAGAAUUUGUUCUUUUAAGUGCCCUUUGUGAUUCUGCCAUAUUAACAGGAAGGAACUCCUCACCUGCCAGGUCAGUUUAAAACCUCAAGCAAGGCAUUUCCGGCCUUUUGCCAUCCGGCCCCCAUGUCCUGUGCAGGCUCACACGUUGCCCUCACCCAGACAUGCAGUCUCAUGAAACUCCUCUAUGUUCCCAACAUUUUCAGGCUCUCUCACAUCCGAGUCUUCACACUAGUUCGUCUUUCUAUAUCCCCCUUGUCUACCUGGGAAACUUCCACACUGACCUCUGAGGCCAGCUAAAACACUAUUUCCUCUGGGAAGCCUUCCACAUUCUUCUUCCAACCAGCCAGUCAGAAGUAGUUUCUCUUUCCUGUGAGUCUCCCAGCACCUCCCACCAUUCUAUAUCCCAGCAUGCAUCACUCUGUCCCAUAAUUAUUUAGUGAUGCCAGUGUCAAACAGUUUGUAUAGCUUGCCUUGUUUCAGGUCCCCAGGUACUUCUGAGGUAGAUGAUGAUGAUGUUAUGAUCAUGACGAUAAAAGCAAAGGUUGAGCAUGUGAAAAGUUUGCUCAAAGAAUUCUACAUAUGGACCGGGCACAGUGGCUCAUGCCUGUAAUCCCAGCACUUUGGGAGGCGGAGGCAGGUAGAUCACCUGAGGUCAGGAGUUCGAGACCAGCCUGGCCAACAUGGUAAAACCCCGACUCUACUAAAAAUACAAAAAUUAGCUGGGCGUGGUGGCAGGCACCUGUAAUUCCAGCUACUCAGGAGCCUGAGGCAAGAGAAUCGCUUGAACCAGGGGGUGGAGGUUGCAGUGAGCCGAGAUCGCGCCACUUC